Molecule: ribosomal RNA, 491 nt
Filed under: uncultured bacterium
Lineage: Bacteria
Description: bacterial SSU rRNA
Rfam family: Bacterial small subunit ribosomal RNA
Source: RNAcentral
AUUGAACGCUGGCGGCAGGCCUAAUACAUGCAAGUCGAACGGCAGCACAGCAGAGCUUGCUCUGUGGGUGGCGAGUGGCGGACGGGUGAGGAAUACAUGGGAAUCUGCCCAGUCGUGGGGGAUAACGUAUGGAAACGUACGCUAAUACCGCAUGCGCCCUACGGGGGAAAGUCGGGGACCGCAAGGCCUGACGCGAUUGGAUGAGCCCAUGUUCGAUUAGCUAGUUGGCGGGGUAAAGGCCCACCAAGGCGACGAUCGAUAGCUGGUCUGAGAGGAUGAUCAGCCACACUGGAACUGAGACACGGUCCAGACUCCUACGGGAGGCAGCAGUAGGGAAUAUUGGACAAUGGGGGCAACCCUGAUCCAGCCAUGCCGCGUGAGUGAAGAAGGCCCUCGGGUUGUAAAGCUCUUUUGUCCGGAAAGAAAGCAAUCGGUUAAUACCCGGUUGUUCUGACGGUACCGGAAGAAUAAGCACCGGCUAACUUCGUGCC